AAAUUGAAGAGUUUGAUCAUGGCUCAGAUUGAACGCUGGCGGCAGGCCUAACACAUGCAAGUCGAACGGUAACAGGAAACAGCUUGCUGUUUCGCUGACGAGUGGCGGACGGGUGAGUAAUGUCUGGGAAACUGCCCGAUGGAGGGGGAUAACUACUGGAAACGGUAGCUAAUACCGCAUAACGUCGCAGGACCAAAGAGGGGGACCUUCGGGCCUCUUGCCAUCGGAUGUGCCCAGAUGGGAUUAGCUAGUAGGUGGGGUAACGGCUCACCUAGGCGACGAUCCCUAGCUGGUCUGAGAGGAUGACCAGCCACACUGGAACUGAGACACGGUCCAGACUCCUACGGGAGGCAGCAGUGGGGAAUAUUGCACAAUGGGCGCAAGCCUGAUGCAGCCAUGCCGCGUGUAUGAAGAAGGCCUUCGGGUUGUAAAGUACUUUCAGCGGGGAGGAAGGGAGUAAAGUUAAUACCUUUGCUCAUUGACGUUACCCGCAGAAGAAGCACCGGCUAACUCCGUGCCAGCAGCCGCGGUAAUACGGAGGGUGCAAGCGUUAAUCGGAAUUACUGGGCGUAAAGCGCACGCAGGCGGUUUGUUAAGUCAGAUGUGAAAUCCCCGGGCUCAACCUGGGAACUGCAUCUGAUACUGGCAAGCUUGAGUCUCGUAGAGGGGGGUAGAAUUCCAGGUGUAGCGGUGAAAUGCGUAGAGAUCUGGAGGAAUACCGGUGGCGAAGGCGGCCCCCUGGACGAAGACUGACGCUCAGGUGCGAAAGCGUGGGGAGCAAACAGGAUUAGAUACCCUGGUAGUCCACGCCGUAAACGAUGUCGACUUGGAGGUUGUGCCCUUGAGGCGUGGCUUCCGGAGCUAACGCGUUAAGUCGACCGCCUGGGGAGUACGGCCGCAAGGUUAAAACUCAAAUGAAUUGACGGGGGCCCGCACAAGCGGUGGAGCAUGUGGUUUAAUUCGAUGCAACGCGAAGAACCUUACCUGGUCUUGACAUCCACGGAAGUUUUCAGAGAUGAGAAUGUGCCUUCGGGAACCGUGAGACAGGUGCUGCAUGGCUGUCGUCAGCUCGUGUUGUGAAAUGUUGGGUUAAGUCCCGCAACGAGCGCAACCCUUAUCCUUUGUUGCCAGCGGUCCGGCCGGGAACUCAAAGGAGACUGCCAGUGAUAAACUGGAGGAAGGUGGGGAUGACGUCAAGUCAUCAUGGCCCUUACGACCAGGGCUACACACGUGCUACAAUGGCGCAUACAAAGAGAAGCGACCUCGCGAGAGCAAGCGGACCUCAUAAAGUGCGUCGUAGUCCGGAUUGGAGUCUGCAACUCGACUCCAUGAAGUCGGAAUCGCUAGUAAUCGUGGAUCAGAAUGCCACGGUGAAUACGUUCCCGGGCCUUGUACACACCGCCCGUCACACCAUGGGAGUGGGUUGCAAAAGAAGUAGGUAGCUUAACCUUCGGGAGGGCGCUUACCACUUUGUGAUUCAUGACUGGGGUGAAGUCGUAACAAGGUAACCGUAGGGGAACCUGCGGUUGGAUCACCUCCUUA
Molecule: ribosomal RNA, 1542 nt
Filed under: Escherichia coli
Lineage: Bacteria; Pseudomonadati; Pseudomonadota; Gammaproteobacteria; Enterobacterales; Enterobacteriaceae
Description: bacterial SSU rRNA
Rfam family: Bacterial small subunit ribosomal RNA
Source: RNAcentral